Long non-coding RNA from Quercus lobata, 463 nucleotides. RefSeq lists it as uncharacterized. The record is from RefSeq and is a predicted model, not a curated record. The transcript is spliced from 4 exons. Lineage: Eukaryota; Viridiplantae; Streptophyta; Magnoliopsida; Fagales; Fagaceae.
CAAUGGCAGAACCAACUCCUUUGUAGCAAAUCAUUUAUCCGAGUCUCUACAAUGCUUGGCUAGCACAUUAAGACGUUGGAGAAGUGGCCAACCUUCAGAAUCCUGGGAGGCUCAUAAGGCAGCAAUCCAAGCACUCAUAAAGCUGCCUUCAGGCGAGCUUGUUACAGGUUCAACUGAUACAACUUUAAAACUUUGGAGAGGAAGCAAAUGUACACAUACUUUUGUUGGGCAUACAGAUCAAAUAUAGGCUGAUGCACUUGUUCUGAGGGGGAUCAGUUGCACAUUUGAGGAAGGGCACAAAAUACGUAUUGUUGGCAGAAUUGGCAGUGGCAAGACCACUCUCAUAGAGAUGAACCUGUUUUGUCCAAUGGAGCUAGCUAGAGGGAAGAUAUAGUAAUGUAUUUAUUGAAACCUGUAGUAUUCCAUGUAAUGCGAGUCUUUUUACGUAACUUUUAAAUUUUAA